AUUGAACGCUGGCGGCAUGCUUUACACAUGCAAGUCGAACGGUAACAGGCCGCAAGGUGCUGACGAGUGGCGAACGGGUGAGUAAUGCAUCGGAACGUGCCCAGUCGUGGGGGAUAACGCAGCGAAAGCUGCGCUAAUACCGCAUACGAUCUAUGGAUGAAAGCGGGGGGACCGUAAGGCCUCGCGCGAUUGGAGCGGCCGAUGUCAGAUUAGGUAGUUGGUGGGGUAAAGGCUCACCAAGCCAACGAUCUGUAGCUGGUCUGAGAGGACGACCAGCCACACUGGGACUGAGACACGGCCCAGACUCCUACGGGAGGCAGCAGUGGGGAAUUUUGGACAAUGGCGGCAAGCCUGAUCCAGCAAUGCCGCGUGCAGGAAGAAAGGCCGUCGGUUGGUUAACGUUAGUACGUUUAUUACUUAAGUAAGAAACCG
Molecule: ribosomal RNA, 432 nt
Filed under: uncultured bacterium
Lineage: Bacteria
Description: bacterial SSU rRNA
Rfam family: Bacterial small subunit ribosomal RNA
Source: RNAcentral